AUGGCGGUCACCAGUGCGAGUGCCGCUGCCUCCCUCUCCGUCACGGCUGCAGCUCACCGCCUCAGGCACCGGCAGCUAUACGCUUGCGCACGUGGGCCCGCGGCGCAACCUCAUCCCCUCCUCAAGCUGAACCGCCGCAGCUACGCGGUCUCGGCGUCGUCGGCGGCGGCCAUGUCUCCUCUGUCCCUGUGGGAAGGCCAAGGCAUCCGGGCGGAGUUGGAUGCGCCCGGAGGAGUGGCCAGCGGUGACGUCAUGGGCCUUCUUCUCCGGGAGCGCAUCAUCUUCCUCGGCAACGAGAUCGAGGACUUCCUCGCCGACGCCGUCGUCAGCCAGCUCCUCCUCCUCGACGCCAUGGACUCCGAGUCUGAUAUCCGGCUCUUCGUCAACUCCCCCGGUGGAUCACUCAGUGCGACAAUGGCUAUCUUCGAUGUAAUGCAGCUGGUGAGGGCAGAUGUAUCCACUAUUGGAAUGGGCAUAGCUGGAUCCACAGCUUCUAUAAUCCUUGGUGGUGGCGCAAAGGGCAAACGAUUUGCCAUGCCCAACACCAGGAUUAUGAUGCAUCAGCCCGUGGGAGGCGCGAGUGGCCAGGCCUUGGAUGUAGAGGUCCAAGCCAAGGAAAUUCUGGCUAGCAAGAGGAAUGUCAUCCGGCUGAUUUCAGGCUUCACGGGGCGCACACUGGAGCAGGUAGAGAAAGACAUCGAUAGGGACCGAUACAUGGGUCCUCUUGAGGCCGUCGAUUACGGGAUCAUCGACGGCGUGAUCGACGAAGACAGCAUCAUGCCACUUGAGCCGGUUCCGGAGAGGGUGAAGCCUAAGUACAACUACGAGGAAAUGUACAAGGACCCUCAGAAGUUCCUUACGCCGCAUGUCCCAGACGAUGAGAUAUACUAA
RNAcentral lists this ribosomal RNA (891 nucleotides) under Triticum aestivum (bread wheat). RNAcentral describes it as "partial small subunit ribosomal RNA". The record is from RNAcentral. Lineage: Eukaryota; Viridiplantae; Streptophyta; Magnoliopsida; Poales; Poaceae.